AGGGGCCGGAAGUGACCACUGCAGCAGGGGCCGGAAGUGACUACUGCAGCAGGGACAGGAAGUGACCACUGCAGCAGGGGCGGGAAGUGACCACUGCAGCAGGGGCCGGAAGUGACCGCUCACAUCACACCCAGGUUACAGUCCAUCACUGCAGGGAGGUCGGUGCAGCAGGGGCCGGAAGCGACUACGCACAUCACACCCAGACUAAAGCAGAGAGCACUGGGUGUACGCACGCACGCACGCACGCACGCACGCACACCAGCCCUCAGCUCACUUUCUCCACAAUUCAGGAUCCCUUGCCCAGGGAAUGGUGUCACCCACACUGGGUGAUUCUUCCCACGAUGAGGUCCUUCACUGAGACUGCCUUCCGGGUGAUCCCAGACUGUGUCAAGCUGACAACGGAAACUCACCACCACUGAGGAUGUGUGAAACCGAGCCCCACUUCGUGCCUGGGAGUCAUUGGGAAGGGGUGCACUUCUGGUCAAGGAAUUCUUCCCGGUCAGAUGAGAGGAGAGGAGGGAAGAGAACUGGUUAAAGUGUGGCUCUUUGAGUCUGAAUCAUUUGUCGUCAUAGCAAGAACAUUUGUGUCCGGAAUAAACUGAGUUGGACAAGAGCUCAACAUUUCCUUCUGAAUAGAAUGAGGUUUCAGUCACAAAAGGAAAUUGCACAGACAUGGAGCAUCCCUGUACAGAGCAGGCCACCAGGAUCCUGCACAUUCAGGAGAAAUACAGCAGGACUGAGCCAUCCACAGCAGGCCAGAAGCUGGAGGAGGGAAAUGGCCCAUCAGCUUAUCUUGAUUUCCCAGGAUGCACCUAGCGUCAUGUAGUGGACCACUACAUCCUGAGAGAACACAUCUCAGCUCUGAAGCUACCCAUUUCAUGGACCUGAAGCCUGGAAACCAAUCUCAAUCCUGCUGACAGCUCAGGAUUAUGACUACGUGCCUCAAAUCACAUAGCCCAGGAGGGAAGUGUGAUCAUGGCCCAGAAAGGUGAUAUUCUGGGUUCACCUUGGACAUAGGGGAGCAAGUACAGCCCAAGUGCCUCCUGCACAGGAUGGAGUCACCAUCCAGGGCCCCUUGUGAUGUAGAAUGUGAUUAUCUUGUGAGAACAAACUUCGAGAGCCAGCUGGACAAACCCAACCACCCAGAAAUGAAG
Molecule: long non-coding RNA, 1154 nt
Organism: Peromyscus maniculatus bairdii (prairie deer mouse)
Lineage: Eukaryota; Metazoa; Chordata; Mammalia; Rodentia; Cricetidae
Source: RefSeq, a predicted model, not a curated record